This 497-nucleotide ribosomal RNA is filed under the name uncultured bacterium. Its description in RNAcentral is "bacterial SSU rRNA". It matches the Rfam family "Bacterial small subunit ribosomal RNA", at positions 21 to 518 of the family's 1533-position model. The record is from RNAcentral.
GGCUCAGGACGAACGCUGGCGGCGUGCCUAACACAUGCAAGUCGAGCGGAGCCAUCCGAAAGAUCCCUCGGGUGAUUUGGGGAAGCUAGCGGCGGACGGGUGAGUAACGCGUGAGUAACCUGCCCAUUAGUGGGGAAUAACACAGAGAAAUUUGUGCUAAUACCGCAUACCGAUAGAGGAUGGCAUCUUCUUCUAUUGAAAGAUUUAUCGCUAAUGGAUGGACUCGCGUCCGAUUAGAUAGUAGGCGGGGUAACGGCCCACCUAGUCAACGAUCGGUAGCCGAACUGAGAGGUUGAUCGGCCACAUUGGGACUGAGACACGGCCCAGACUCCUACGGGAGGCAGCAGUGGGGGAUAUUGCGCAAUGGGGGAAACCCUGACGCCAGCAACGCCGCGUGCAGGAAGACGGCCUUCGGGUUGUAAACUGUUGUCGCAAGGGAAGAAGAAAGUGACGGUACCUUGUGAGAAAGCCACGGCUAACUACGUGCCAGCAGCAGC